CCUACGGGAGGCAGCAGUGAGGAAUAUUGGUCAAUGGGCGGGAGCCUGAACCAGCCAAGUCGCGUGAGGGACGACGGUCCUAUGGAUUGUAAACCUCUUUUGUCGGGGAACAAAGUCGCCCACGGGUGGGCGGCUGAGUGUACCCGACGAACAAGCAUCGGCUAACUCCGUGCCAGCAGCCGCGGUAAUCCGGGGGAUGCGAGCGUUAUCCGGAUUUAUUGGGUUAAAGGGGUGCGUAGGCGGACAGUCAAGUCAGCGGUAAAAAUGCGGUGCUCACCGCCGUACAGCCGUUGAAACUGGCAGUCUUGAGUGAGCGAGAAGUAGGCGGAAUGCGUGGUGUAGCGGUGAAAUGCAUAGAUAUCACGAAGAACUCCGAUUGCGAAGGCAGCAUACCGGAGACCGACUGACGCUGAGGCACGAAAGCGUGGGUAUCGAACAGGAUUAGAUACCCCUGUAGUC
This 459-nucleotide ribosomal RNA is filed under the name uncultured bacterium. RNAcentral's name for it is "partial 16S ribosomal RNA". It matches the Rfam family "Bacterial small subunit ribosomal RNA", at positions 338 to 795 of the family's 1533-position model. The record is from RNAcentral.